RNAcentral lists this ribosomal RNA (460 nucleotides) under uncultured bacterium. RNAcentral describes it as "partial 16S ribosomal RNA". It matches the Rfam family "Bacterial small subunit ribosomal RNA", at positions 338 to 795 of the family's 1533-position model. The record is from RNAcentral.
CCUACGGGUGGCUGCAGUGAGGAAUAUUGGUCAAUGGACGAGAGUCUGAACCAGCCAAGUAGCGUGAAGGAUGACUGCCCUAUGGGUUGUAAACUUCUUUUAUAUGGGAAUAAAACGUUCCAUGCGUGGGAUUUUGUAUGUACCAUAUGAAUAAGGAUCGGCUAACUCCGUGCCAGCAGCCGCGGUAAUACGGAGGAUCCGAGCGUUAUCCGGAUUUAUUGGGGUUAAUGGGAGCGUAGGUGGAUUGUUAAGUCAGUUGUGAAAGUUUGCGGCUCAACCGUAAAAUUGCAGUUGAAACUGGCAGUCUUGAGUACAGUAGAGGUGGGCGGAAUUCGUGGUGUAGCGGUGAAAUGCUUAGAUAUCACGAAGAACUCCGAUUGCGAAGGCAGUUCACUGGACUGCAACUGACACUGAGGCUCGAAAGUGUGGGUAUCAAACAGGAUUAGAUACCCGAGUAGUC